RNAcentral lists this ribosomal RNA (250 nucleotides) under uncultured prokaryote. RNAcentral describes it as "partial 16S rRNA". It matches the Rfam family "Bacterial small subunit ribosomal RNA", at positions 525 to 775 of the family's 1533-position model. The record is from RNAcentral.
ACGUAGGUGGCAAGCGUUGUCCGGAAUUAUUGGGCGUAAAGCGCGCGCAGGCGGGAAUGUAAGUCUAUCUUAAAAGUGCGGGGCUCAACCCCGUGAGGGGAUGGAAACUACAUUUCUUGAGUAUCGGAGAGGAAAGUGGAAUUCCCAGUGUAGCGGUGAAAUGCGUAGAUAUUGGGAGGAACACCAGUGGCGAAGGCGACUUUCUGGACGAUGUCUGACGCUGAGGCGCGAAAGCCAGGGUAGUGAACGG